This 519-nucleotide ribosomal RNA is filed under the name uncultured eukaryote. Its description in RNAcentral is "SSU rRNA". It matches the Rfam family "Eukaryotic small subunit ribosomal RNA", at positions 1161 to 1702 of the family's 1831-position model. The record is from RNAcentral.
AGGGCACCACCAGGAGUGGAGCCUGCGGCUUAAUUUGACUCAACACGGGAAAUCUCACCAGGCCCGGACACCGGAGGGAUUGACAGAUUGAGAGCUCUUUCUUGAUUCGGUGGGUGGUGGUGCAUGGCCGUUCUUAGUUGGUGGAGCGAUUUGUCUGGUUAAUUCCGAUAACGAACGAGACUCUGGCCUACUAAAUAGACGUUAGAUCCCUUUGUGGGUCUAUCGCAGCUUCUUAGAGGGACGGGCGGCGUUCAGCCGCACGAGAUUGAGCAAUAACAGGUCUGUGAUGCCCUUAGAUGUUCUGGGCUGCACGCGCGCUACACUGAAGGAAUCAGCGUGUGUUCCCUGCCCGAAAGGACUGGGAAACCCGUUGAACCUCCUUCGUGAUGGGGAUUGGGGAUUGCAAUUAUUCCCCAUGAACGAGGAAUUCCCAGUAGGCGCGAGUCAUAAGCUUGCGUCGAUUACGUCCCUGCCCUUUGUACACACCGCCCGUCGCUACUACCGAUCGAGUGAUUUAGU